Molecule: ribosomal RNA, 478 nt
Filed under: uncultured bacterium
Lineage: Bacteria
Description: partial 16S ribosomal RNA
Rfam family: Bacterial small subunit ribosomal RNA
Source: RNAcentral
GACGAACGCUGGCGGCGUGCUUAACACAUGCAAGUCGAACGGUAAGGCCCUUCGGGGUACACGAGUGGCGAACGGGUGAGUAACACGUGGGUGAUCUGCCCUGCACUUCGGGAUAAGCCUGGGAAACUGGGUCUAAUACCGGAUAGGACCCUGGGAUGCAUGUCCUGGGGUGGAAAGCUUUUGCGGUGUGGGAUGGGCCCGCGGCCUAUCAGCGUGUUGGUGGGGUGAUGGCCUGCCAAGGCGACGACGGGUAGGCGGCCUGAGAGGGUGACCGGCCACACUGGGGCUGAGAUACGGCCCAGACUCCUACGGGAGGCAGCAGUGGGGAAUAUUGCACAAUGGGCGCAAGCCUGAUGCAGCGACGCCGCGUGAGGGAUGACGGCCUUCGGGUUGUAAACCUCUUUCAGCACCGACGAAGCGCAAGUGACGGUAGGUGCAGAAGAAGGACCGGCCAACUACGUGCCAGCAGCCGCGGUAA